UGUUAUGAUGAGAAAUCUUGAUUAGCUCUAGAUCAAGAGCUGCUUUAUGCAGCGAUGAGCGACAUUUGCAUGUAUUACCUGAACC
This 85-nucleotide small nucleolar RNA is filed under the name Exophiala sideris. RNAcentral describes it as "Exophiala sp. SST-2011 A. fimigatus snoRNA Afu_199". It matches the Rfam family "A. fimigatus snoRNA Afu_199". Lineage: Eukaryota; Fungi; Ascomycota; Eurotiomycetes; Chaetothyriales; Herpotrichiellaceae. The record is from Rfam by way of RNAcentral.